GCCCAGCCUGGGCGGGUCUCUGGUGGGUCCUGAGAAAUGGAUGGGCUGUGAGGUUCAGGAGGAACUUACCAUCUGGGGAAGCAUUGUCUGCGAGGAGGAAGGCUGACCUUGCACAGAGAGGGACUCGAGAGGAUGGGUCAGCGUUGGGUGGUGACGGCAGCAGGCUGUGCUAUUGAUGUGCUGUGCUGUUUAAUGCUGCUGCUGUGUCUGGGCCUGGUGCGGCUCUAGCUCACGGGGUCCUGAGCCCCCCAUUAAUGAUUGCUCCUCCAUGCCACCGUCAGGGUUCUAGUUGCCCCAUCUGUCAGCACGUCUCUCUUCUGUGGGAGGGGACAGCCCCCUGUGCCCCGUUACCUGGCAUGCAGUAGGUGCUUAAUAAGUGCAGGCUAAAAAGAGCAUGCCUCCCUGGAGGCCUGAGGAGCCCUGGACUCAGCGUAGGGCCUGGCUGGCUCAGGACCCUCCCAGCUUCCCUGGCAGGGGCAGGCAGAGACCCUCAGCUGUGGGUGACCACCCUGGGCCUGGGGCAGACGCCACCCCCUCCCAGCCCAGGCCGAUUUCGGGGCCUUUGCACAAGUCAGGCCUGGAGCUGCGGACACCGCCCUCUGCCUUCUGGGUUGGUCGGGCAGUUGGUCAGGAUGGCUGGUUGAAGACUGCAGGGAGCCGAUGUGUCACCUGCCAUAUAUUUGAGCAGCAGUAUUGGGGGCCCCCCGGAAACAUAUCUUAUUUGGGGGCUGAUUGAGCACUUGUGUCCCAGGACCUUCUGUAGAGGCCUGGGGACGUUUAGCGAGUGAUGAGCAGCCCCUGCCUCAGUGAGCACCCCCACGCAGCUCCCGGUGUCCCAGCCUCUCCAGCAGGCGGGUGGGCGCCAGCACGUCCAUGCAUAGGUGAGGCUGGGGCUCAGGGCUGCCCCAGACAUGCUGCUCGAAUGAGUGAGGAGUGAGGCGCCUCUCAGCACGCGUGGCCACACACACCCCGACGUUUACCCUCGUCUGUUCCACGUCUCCUUUGUAAAAUUACAGCCAGCGACCAUGUUUGAACAAAGAGAAAGGCAAAGUAGAGCAAUCCUUUCGACUCCAUGGUGACAACUCGGGGAAAAACAUGAUUACGGUCUCUGUUAAAAAAGAAACUAUCUCUUCAAGGCAGGCGGAAGCGCAUGCUAGGCCAGGAGGAACCGCACAUCUGCCACAGCUCGCCCACUGUCAGCGGGGCGUUUCCUGUUUUUGGGCUGAGGCGGAGGCUGGCCCGCUGUGCCUGGGCCGCCCGCUGACAGUGAGGGGUGCACGGAGGCCCGGGGGCCUCGGGCUCUGGUUGGACAACUUUGUACGCCACUGAAGUGCAAACAUCCGUUCAGAGUGCUUCUCAUCUGACUUUUUUGUUGUUGCACUUUUUAUUUUGAGACAGUUCACAGGGAGUUGUAAGAAAUCAUACAGAAAGAUCCCGUGUACCUUUCACCCAGUUUCCCCCGUUGGUAACGUCUUGCAAAACUACUGCGCAGUGUGUGUGGGGGUGUUGACACUGAUGUGGUCAAAACACAGAACCAGCACCACGAGGCUCCCUCCUGCUUUCUUUUAACAAACAAAUUUGAUGUAUUUUAAAAAUUGCAAUGAAAUAUAUAUUACGUAAGAUUUACCAUUUAACCAUUUGUAAGUGUACAACUCAGUGGCCUUAAGCACAUUCACGUUAAUGUGCAACCAUCACCACCAUCCGUCUCCAGAACUUUUAUGUCAUCUCAGUAGGAACUCUGUCCCCAUUGAGCGCUAACUCCUCAUCUCGCUCCCCCAGCCCCUGAACCUCUGUCCUACUUUCUGCCCCCUGACUCCUCGAGGGACCCGAGCUCCCUUCUGGGGAAAUGGUGGGGUACGUGGGGCUGGCCUGGUGGCCCGGCCGUCACCAGCAAUGACUGUUAAUAUGGCUCUUGAUCAGCCUUUUUCUUGUAAAAGUGACACGUGAUGUUACAAAAACUCACGCAGUGUGGAACAGACCACAGCAGAAAGUGGAAGUUUGUUGUUGGCGAGAGCUCUCCACACCCACCCUGAGGCACAGGCACCCGGAAUUUUUCGGGACACAGAGAAACAUACACACGCAGACAUGCUUUUUUUUUUUUUUUUUUUUCAACGCAUCACAGGUUGAGCUUCUCUGUCCCCUUUCAAGCCUCUCUGCCUCCCUGCCCUCAGGGCUGGGGUGGGGGUGUGUGUGGACGCAGUUGGUGGUGUGGGGGUCCCAGAUCUUUUAGCAAAUCACCUUACCAGAGCUGUCUCCCGGGGGUCAACAUUAGCGAGAGAAAGAGCACUGGGUUCGUCUUGUGGCUGCUCCACCUGGAGAACCCCAACAGCGGCCAGCACCUUGCAGUCACCACCAUGCUGCACCUGCGCCCCGAGAAGUUGGGACGCUGCCCCAUCACAUUGUAUAUUCUUCGUUGUGGAUUCUUCUAGUUGUGGCAUGUGGGACGCUGCCUCAGCGUGGUUUGAUGAGCAGUGCCAUGUCCGCGCCCAGGAUUCGAACCAACGAAACACUGGGCCGCCUGCAGCGGAGCGCGCGAACUUAACCACUCGGCCACGGAGCCAGCCCCUUGUUGGAGACUCUUUGCACUGAAUUGUGUCCCCCAAAUUCAUAUAUUGAAGACCUGACCCCCAGGGUGACCGAAUUUGGAGGCAGGGCUGUCAGGAGGUCGUUACGGUUAAAUGAGGUCGUAAGCCUGGGGCCCUGACCCGGUAGGACUUCAGAAGAGAAAGAGACAUCAGGAAUGCUGGUGCACAGAGAAAAGGCCGCGUGAGGACACUGGGAGAAGAUGGCCAUCUGCGGGCCAAGGAGGGAGGCCUCAGGAGACCAGCCAGCCUGCACCUUGAUCUCAGCCUUCCAGCCUCCAACUGAGAGAAGUAAAUUUCUGUUGUUUAGGCCGCCCAGGCCAGGGGACAUUGGCAUGGCAGCCCUCGGUGACCCACACAAGCCCCUUCCAGGCAGUCCCCACCCCUGGUCCAGGCAUGCGUGACCUGCUUUCUCUGCCUCUGCCUUGGACCUGCCUGUUCCAGACUUUCACAUCAACGCAGUCACACUCUGUCGCUCCUUGGGGUCCGGCCUCUUCACUCAGCAUAAUGACCGCGAGGUCCCUCCAUGACGCUGUGUAUCAAUAUCACUCUUUCUUAUCACUGAGUUGUAUCCCGUUUUAUGACUAUGCCAUCAUAUGUGUAUCCAUUCACCUGUUCAUGGUGUCUGGGUGGCUGCCGGUUCUUGGUUAAUGUGCGUAAAGCUGCUAUGAAAGUCUGUAAACAGCUUUUGGUGUGGACGUAUAUUUUCCUUUGUCUAGGUUAUUUACCUAGGAGUAGGAAUGGCUGGGUCAGAUGGAAAGCGUGUGGUUAACUUUGUAAGCGUUUGCCAAACCGUCAUCCAAAGUGGUCGUACCACUUUCCAUUCCCACCAGCAGUGUCAACAGAUCCAGCAACGCCAUAUCCUCCUCAAUACCUGAUAUGGUCAGACUUUACCCUUAGCCACUCUGAUAGCUGUGAAGUGGUAUCUCCUUGUCAUUUUAAUUUGCAUUUCCCUGUUGACUAAUGAUGCUGAGCAUCUUUGCAUGUGCCGUCUGUGUGUCUUCUUUGGGGAAGGAUCUGUUCAAAAAUCUUGACCAUUAAAAGAAUAUUGAGUUGUUUGUCUUCUUACUGAGUUGUAAGAAAUUUUUAAAAAAUAUAUCUUUUGGGCAAGACAUGUGUGUUGUGGAUAUUUUCCCCAGCAGGUGGUUUGCCUUCUCAUUUCCUUAAUAUCAAACUUUGAAGAGCAAAGUCUUUAAUUUGGAUGAAGUCCAAUUUAUCUGUUUUUCUGUGAUGGUUUAUGUCUUUCAUGUCCUCUCUAAGAAAUCUUUGCCCACUUCAAGGUCACAAAGAUUUUCUCCUAUGUUUUCUACCAGAAGUUUAAUAAUUUUAGCUUUUACAUUUAGGCCUAUGGUCCCUUUGGGCUACUUUUUGCUCGUGGUGAGGGUAAAGGCUGAGCUUCAUUUUUGCCGCCUUGAUUCUCCCUGUUCCAGCAACUGUUGCCUACAAAGAUUACCUUUCCCCUGUGGGAUUACUGUGGCGCCUCUGACAACACUCUGGUGAUCACACACGAGCGGGUCUGUUUGUGGACUCCGUCUCUUCCGUCUCGUCGACCAGUUGGUACUCCUCCUGCCUACACCAUCUGGGCUGGAUCCACGAGGCUUGCAGCGCACAUCCUUCAGCGCUGCUCUUCCUUUUCAAAAUUGUUUUGGCCACGAUAACUCCUUUCUGUUUUCACAUGAGUGUAAAAAAUCAGCGUAUCAAUUUCCACAAACAAACCUGCUGCAGUUUGAUUGGGAUUACAUCGAUCUCUGGUUACUUGGGGGAGAACUGACAUCUUGCUGAAACCCAGUCUUCCACUUUGUGAGCAUCAUACCUUUCCAUUUACGGGGUCCUCUGUCCCCUCCCUCGGCAGGGCCUGCACAGGCCUGGACACAUUCUGUUGAAUUUGUCCCAGAUGCUUCAUGUUUUUAAUGCGAGUGUGUUCUUGCUCUUUUAAAUUUCAAAAACCCAUCUGUAUUUUCUAAACUGUUGGCCUUGUGUCCUGUGACGUCACUAAAUAAGCUGUGUAGGCCACUUAGCCUUUCUGUAGACAUUGUAGAACUUUUAUAUAUGUGGUCACGUUGUCUGCGAAGAAGCAAUGUUUCCCUUCCGCUCCCAUCGCCGCGCCUUCUCUUUCUUUUUCUUGCCGCGUUGCCCUUUCUGAGACUCCAGUGCAGUGUUGUGCGGAAGGGGAUGAGUGGGCAUCCCUGCCUGGUCCUGUUCUUGGGGGAGAGCACGCCGUCUUCACAAUCGACUGAGACGUCGGCUGUGGGAGUCUCUCAGCUGCCUCUGCAGAUUUGGGGGCUCUGUUUCUGCACAGCCCCCGGCCUCUAGAACCCUGCAAUCUCCAAUCGCUGUCCUCUUCUUUUGGCUGCUGUCUCUUUCUGUGUACAGUAUCCUUUGCACGUCAGCCUACAGUUUUGGUUUUGCAUGCAGUAAGACAAUGUCUGCAUUUACCUGGAGGAUUGAGACCAUUUCCAUUCCAUGUAGUUUCCUGUGUGGUUGGGUUUGGGUCCAUAUUUUGAUAAUUAUUUGCUGUUCUUUGUUUCUUGUUUCCUCCUUUAUGCCUUCUUCUUGACGAAUUGAGUGUUUUUUGGGUAUUUCAUUCAUCUGCACUGUGGGCUUAUUUGCUACACAUCUUCAUUUUAUUUAUCAGCGGCUGCUCUAGGGCUAACAAUAUGCACCUGUCCUCACCUCCCACUAUGACCCGCUUGACAGACCAUGAAAAGCACCUUACACAGUCCACUCACGUUUCCCUGCCCCAGGCUUCUUGCUCUUAUUGUCAUGGAUUUUACUUCCACGUGCUGAGACCAUGACAGCACAUUGUUAUUUUUCUUUAAGCUUUCUAUUAUUUUUAAAAGAAAUUUUAAAAAUGAGAAAAAGAUGUCUCAUAUUUACUGACAUAUUUACCAUUUCUUUCACUCUCCAUUCCUUUGAGUAGAGAUGCGUUUUCAUCGGGUACCGACUUCC
Equus asinus (donkey) is the source of this 5531-nucleotide long non-coding RNA. The record is from Ensembl. Lineage: Eukaryota; Metazoa; Chordata; Mammalia; Perissodactyla; Equidae.